GUGGGGAAUAUUGGACAAUGGGCGAAAGCCUGAUCCAGCCAUGCCGCGUGUGUGAAGAAGGUCUUCGGAUUGUAAAGCACUUUAAGUUGGGAGGAAGGGCAGUAAGUUAAUACCUUGCUGUUUUGACGUUACCGACAGAAUAAGCACCGGCUAACUUCGUGCCAGCAGCCGCGGUAAUACGAAGGGUGCAAGCGUUAAUCGGAAUUACUGGGCGUAAAGCGCGCGUAGGUGGUUUUGUAAGUUGGAGGUGAAAUCCCCGGGCUCAACCUUGGAACUGCAUCCAAAACUGCAUGACUAGAGUACGGUAGAGGGUAGUGGAAUUUCCUGUGUAGCGGUGAAAUGCGUAGAUAUAGGAAGGAACACCAGUGGCGAAGGCGACUACCUGGACUGAUACUGACACUGAGGUGCGAAAGCGUGGGGAGCAAACAGGAUUAGAAACCCCAGUAGUCC
RNAcentral lists this ribosomal RNA (450 nucleotides) under uncultured bacterium. Its description in RNAcentral is "partial 16S ribosomal RNA". It matches the Rfam family "Bacterial small subunit ribosomal RNA", at positions 354 to 796 of the family's 1533-position model. The record is from RNAcentral.